ACGCUGGGACCUGCCAGCCAGCCUGAUGGGAGCAGCAGCACCUGGGUGUGUGGACGCUUUCGUGAACACAGGAGGACAGCCCGGGAGGUAUCAGGGCAAAAAAGGCUACCAAAAUAAUAGAGUCAGAAGUGACUAUGGGUUGAAACCGUAACACCCUUACUCCAAGGUUGGAAGAUUUUUGUGGAAAAUGAACAUAUUUUAUUAGAAGACAUGGAGGACUUCCUGGAGCAGGAUGGGCAAACACACCCUAGUGUUUACCUGAUAUUGGAAAGGAAAGUUUUCCUCCUGCCUCUGCAGCCUUGGGUGAAUGUGUAUGUGAAACACAGAUCACCGCUAAUGUGUCCCCAGUUCAGAUUUCUGCAUCUGCAAGUUCAGAAUUAUGGUGAUUUUG
Equus quagga is the source of this 391-nucleotide long non-coding RNA. RefSeq lists it as uncharacterized. The record is from RefSeq and is a predicted model, not a curated record. The transcript is spliced from 3 exons. Lineage: Eukaryota; Metazoa; Chordata; Mammalia; Perissodactyla; Equidae.